GUUUGAGUGGCAAUUUUCGUAAUUGUUAUAUAAAGGGAUGGGUUAACUUAAAUUUUAUGUGAGGAUGCAUGUGGUGCUGACAACUCAGUAAUGGCAUGGUGUAAAUAAGAUACACAUUUAAGGUUAUUUAUUAAAAUCUUUCUAAAAUAAUAUAAAAGAGAUUUUUGAUCAUCGUGAUAGCAUAUUUACAAAGUUCUGAUCAUAAAUCAUAUAUGAAUCAUGAUGCAUAAUGUCAUAAUUGCUCACAAUUCCAAAUCUAACAAUAAAAUUGCAAGAACAUGAUGCAUAAUGCAUAAUAUAUUGUAAAUGCAAAAUGCAGAAUAUAUUACGUGAUGCAGAGUGUGCAUGCACCAACCAAAGUUUAUGCAUGAUGUAAAAUGUAAGACACUCAUACAACAAGAAAAAUAAUUUAUAAAACAAAAAUGUCAUAAUUUCUCAAACAUCCAAACUUAACUAUAAGAU
RNAcentral lists this long non-coding RNA (462 nucleotides) under Brassica napus (rape). RNAcentral's name for it is "long non-coding RNA (BNAP_LNC007720)". The record is from RNAcentral. Lineage: Eukaryota; Viridiplantae; Streptophyta; Magnoliopsida; Brassicales; Brassicaceae.